Molecule: ribosomal RNA, 604 nt
Filed under: Sphingomonas aerolata
Lineage: Bacteria; Pseudomonadati; Pseudomonadota; Alphaproteobacteria; Sphingomonadales; Sphingomonadaceae
Description: bacterial SSU rRNA
Rfam family: Bacterial small subunit ribosomal RNA
Source: RNAcentral
AAAUAGACUUCGGGUACUUAGUGUUCCACGGGUGCGUAACGCGUGGGAUCUACCCCUUGGUUCGGAAUAACAGUUGGAAACUUACUCGCUAAUACCGGAUAGAUGACGUAAGUCCAAAGAUUUAUCGCCGAGGGAUGAGCCCGCGUAGGAUUAGGUAGUUGGUGUGGUAAAGGCGCACCAAGCCGACGAUCCUUAGCUGGUCUGAGAGGAUGAUCAGCCACACUGGGACUGAGACACGGCCCAGACUCCUACGGGAGGCAGCAGUGGGGAAUAUUGGACAAUGGGCGAAAGCCUGAUCCAGCAAUGCCGCGUGAGUGAUGAAGGCCUUAGGGUUGUAAAGCUCUUUUACCCGGGAUGAUAAUGACAGUACCGGGAGAAUAAGCUCCGGCUAACUCCGUGCCAGCAGCCGCGGUAAUACGGAGGGAGCUAGCGUUAUUCGGAAUUACUGGGCGUAAAGCGCACGUAGGCGGCUUUGUAAGUAAGAGGUGAAAGCCCAGAGCUCAACUCUGGAAUUGCCUUUUAGACUGCAUCGCUUGAAUCCUGGAGAGGUCCAGUGGAAUUCCCGAGUUGUAGGAGGUGAAAUUCCGUAGAUUUUCCGGAAAGA